Molecule: ribosomal RNA, 505 nt
Filed under: uncultured bacterium
Lineage: Bacteria
Description: bacterial SSU rRNA
Rfam family: Bacterial small subunit ribosomal RNA
Source: RNAcentral
GAUGAACGCUAGCGGCAGGCUUAACACAUGCAAGUCGAGGGGCAGCGCGGGUAGCAAUACCUGGCGGCGACCGGCAAACGGGUGCGGAACACGUACAGAACCUACCUUUGUCUGGGGCAUAGCCCGGAGAAAUCCGGAUUAACUCCCCAUAAUAUAUUUGAGUGGCAUCACUUGGAUAUUAAAAAUUUAUUGGACAGAGAUGGCUGUGCGUCCCAUUAGCUAGUUGGUAGGGUAACGGCCUACCAAGGCAACGAUGGGUAGCUGGUGUGAGAGCACGACCAGCCACACGGGCACUGAGACACGGGCCCGACUCCUACGGGAGGCAGCAGUGAGGAAUAUUGGUCAAUGGACGCAAGUCUGAACCAGCCAUGCCGCGUGAAGGAUGAAGGCCUUCUGGGUUGUAAACUUCUUUUACCUGGGAAGAAAACUACGAUUUCUAUCGUAGCCGACGGUACCAGAGGAAUAAGCACCGGCUAACUCCGUGUCAGCAGCCGCGGUAAAACGU